This 482-nucleotide ribosomal RNA is filed under the name uncultured bacterium. Its description in RNAcentral is "bacterial SSU rRNA". It matches the Rfam family "Bacterial small subunit ribosomal RNA", at positions 1 to 526 of the family's 1533-position model. The record is from RNAcentral.
ACUAGCAGUAAGAGUUUGAUCAUGGCUCAGAACGAACGCUGGCGGCAGGCUUAACACAUGCAAGUCGAACGCAUCCUUCGGGGUGAGUGGCAGACGGGUGAGUAACACGUGGGAACGUGCCCUUCAGUUCGGGAUAACCCAGGGAAACUUGGGCUAAUACCGGAUACGUCCUUAGGGAGAAAGAUUUAUCGCUGAAGGAUCGGCCCGCGUCUGAUUAGCUAGUUGGUGGGGUAAUGGCCUACCAGGGCGACGAUCAGUAGCUGGUCUGAGAGGAUGAUCAGCCACACUGGGACUGAGACACGGCCCAGACUCCUACGGGAGGCAGCAGUGGGGAAUAUUGGACAAUGGGCGCAAGCCUGAUCCAGCCAUGCCGCGUGAGUGAUGAAGGCCCUAGGGUUGUAAAGCUCUUUCGGCGGGGACGAUAAUGACGGUACCCGCAGAAGAAGCCCCGGCUAACUUCGUGCCAGCCGCCGCGGUAAUUC